GUGAGACACAGGCCAUAGCAACAGCUCUUGAGAAGAUUUGAGACACAUUGCUGAAUAUGAUGUUUAUGUAUUCAUGUUAGUGCCCACUAGCAACACAAGAAGUAAUUCAUAGGAGCUUCUAACAAAAGUGUUAAUGGUUUGAUGAUGCCAGCCUGCACGGCAUGCACGAUGCUCUUGAACCGUGGUUUCUCCUCGGGUCGUCUCCUGACCACGCCCA
Salmo salar (Atlantic salmon) is the source of this 217-nucleotide non-coding RNA. NCBI's taxonomy places the organism in Eukaryota, Metazoa, Chordata, Actinopteri, Salmoniformes, Salmonidae. The record is from RefSeq and is a predicted model, not a curated record.